Parelaphostrongylus tenuis is the source of this 74-nucleotide non-coding RNA. The record is from the annotation of a GenBank genome assembly. Lineage: Eukaryota; Metazoa; Nematoda; Chromadorea; Rhabditida; Metastrongylidae.
GUGUCGGUGGUGCAAGGGAUAGAGCAUACGCCUCCGCAGUGAGUGAAAUGUGGGUUCGAGUCCCACCUGACGCA